This 2579-nucleotide long non-coding RNA is filed under the name Macaca fascicularis (crab-eating macaque). RNAcentral describes it as "lncRNA (ENSMFAG00000055093.1)". The record is from RNAcentral. Lineage: Eukaryota; Metazoa; Chordata; Mammalia; Primates; Cercopithecidae.
UUUUUUUUUUUUUUUUUUUUUCGAGAUGGGGUCUCGCUCUGUUGCUGAGGCUGGAGUGCAGUGGGGUGAUCUUGGCUCACUGCAACCCCUGCUUCCCGGUUUCAAGUGAUUCUCCUGCCUCAUCCUCCCAAGUAGCUGGGAUUACAGGCACAUGCUAUCAUGCCUGGCUGAUUUUUGUGUUGUUCGUAGAGACAUGGUUUCACCAUGCUGGCCAGGCUGGUCUUGAACUCCUGACCUUGUGAUCCUCCCAUCUUGGCCUCCCAAAGUGCUGUGAUUACAGGCCUGAGCCACCGUGCCUGGCCUCAAUCCCAAAUUCUAAUGAGGCGAAUAAGUAAUUGGGAUUCCCAGAUGCUGCUGGUGGGAGUGUAAAUUGGACUACCACCUUUGGAAAGCAGAAUCUUCUAAAGCUGAACAUACGUUUCCCUUCUAAAUGCACGAGAAGAAAUGCCUGAGAAGGUUCAUAGCCGCGUCUUUUGUAGGAGCCACCACCUGGGAACAACCCACAGGCCCGGUGGCUCCAGAACAGGCAUCCACACCACGGAAUUCAUGCUGCAACGAGAAUGAAUAAGACGAGUGCUACGCGCAGCAACACGGGUGACUAUUGCAAACACCAUGUUGCAGGAAGGACAUUACGGAUAAGAGAGUAAAUACGGUUUGAUUCCAUGGAUGAGGGUUUUAAAACAGGCAAAGUGAGUGGAUGGUGUAAGUCAGGGAGGUGGUCACCCUGGGGAAUUAAGGGGUGGGAGGGCGCAGGAGAGGGGCUGGAAGGGAUGCCCUGUUUCUUGGCUGGAGGCUGGAAGGGACGUUUUGUUUCUUGGUUGAGAUACUGGUUACGCGAUGUGUUCACUUGGUGAAAUCCAUCCAGCAGUUUCCUGACAAUGUGUAUAUUUUUCUGAGGUGCAUUUAAUAAAAGGUUGGAAAAAUGUUAUCCGUCUGUGGCCAUACCACCCGGAACACACUCGAUCUCAUCUCAUCUCCAAAACUAAGCAUGGUUGGCCUGGUUAGUACUUGGAUGGGAGAAAACUGUUAUCCUACCUUGACCAAAUGGCUUUUCCCUCUUUAAGCUUGGUUUCCUUUUCUACAAAAUAUGGAUAAUGUUGUCUUGGUCGUAGGGCUAAGGUUAUAUUGAGGUUUAAUUAGUGUGAACAUUGUCAUGAACUACCUAAAACAGGUUAGGUGCUUCAUCAAUAAUGACUAUUGGCCAAGCACAGUGACUCAUGCCUAUAAUCCCAGAACUUUGCAGGCCGAGGCAGACAAAUCACUUGAGGCCAAGAGUUCAAGACCAGCCUGGGCAACAUGGUAAGACUGUCUUUACAAAAAUAAAAAUAAAUGACUCUAAUUAUGAUUUUUAUUACUAAUAAUAUCUUUUUCAUAGACUUACAUGUCUCUGAAUGACUAAUGUUUUUUUUUUAAAAACUGGGGAAGAUGCCAUUAUUCUUCAAGUGAGAAAGAAAAAAACACCCCUAAAAAAGGCUACUCUGUGGGUUGAAAUUAUUUUGCUGAAAAUAGCUCCCUCUUUUGAAAAUGCUUAUUUUUUAUGCUCCCCAAAUCCCUUUUCCUAAAUGUGCUUUGUGGCCGAAAUUUCGGGGAGAGAAUGUCACACCACUUGGAAGAAAUGUCCCCCAUCCUUUCUCCACACAUUUAGAGAACGUGACUAAGGAUGAGUUUUUCAAUUCCUUGGGAGCUGAAAACAUGUUGCGAUAGAGUUUAUACCUCUCAGCCCAGAUUUUCCUCCACUUUUCACGGAGCCGUGUGUCAUGAAAAGGUUUAGUGCUUCACCCAUGCCCUUCCACGGCCUGAAUGCGAUUUCCAGGCCCUGGAGAAAUGCCCCAUGCUUCAUGGCUGGAAGCAAAGCUUUUGUACUCUGGAUAUUACAUUACAUCAACUUAGAAAGUGUAAUCCUGGAAUUAGCCAUUGGCGGCUGAAAAACAGACACAGCUGGUCACAGCUGGGGGAGGAGAAAGGCCUAAGAAGGAAGCCUGGGUUCCAGAUCAAGGGGAGACCCAAAUGAUCAGCGGUGAGGGACUGCAGUCCUCCCUGUAAAGGGCUGGCUGAUGCUGGCUGGUCCCAGGCAUUUUCCUUGCCCUCUGCAAGACAGGCCUGUCUGCCCAUGGGCACAGGGUCUGCGGGUCCAGGAUAAAGAUGCCUAAGUGUCCUGCUGAUGCACUUGGGCAGACUUGACUUCAAUGUCCAGGCAAGUCUGAUGUCAUGUAUCACAGAAAUGGUGGCUGCCUCUCUGCCACAUCACCGGCUCACUCUUCCUUAAAAGGAUGUGAUUCAGGCCAGGCACAGUGGCUCAUGCCUGUAAUCCAAACACUCUGGGAGGCCGAGGCAGGUGGAUCACCUGAGGUCAGGAGGUCGAGAACAGCCUGACCAACAUGGUGAAACCAUGUCUCUACUAAAAAUACAAAAAUUAGCCAGGUGUGGUGGUGCACUCCUGUAAUCCCAGCUACUCGGGAGGCUGAGGCAGGAGAAUCGCUUGAACCUGGGAGGUGGAGGUUGCAGUGAGCUGACAUCGCACCAUUGCACUCCAGCCUGGGUGACAGAGUGAGACUCUAUCUCAAAAAAGAAAAAAAAAA